GGCCCCAUCGUCUAUCGGCUAGGACACGACCCUUUCAAGGUCGCGAGACGGGUUCGAUUCCCGUUGGGGCUA
RNAcentral lists this transfer RNA (72 nucleotides) under Gemmatimonadota bacterium. Its description in RNAcentral is "Gemmatimonadetes bacterium (groundwater metagenome) tRNA-Glu". It matches the Rfam family "tRNA". From Rfam's summary of the family: Transfer RNA (tRNA) molecules are approximately 80 nucleotides in length. Their secondary structure includes four short double-helical elements and three loops (D, anti-codon, and T loops). Lineage: Bacteria; Pseudomonadati; Gemmatimonadota. The record is from RNAcentral.